Molecule: non-coding RNA, 47 nt
Filed under: Heterosigma akashiwo
Lineage: Eukaryota; Raphidophyceae; Chattonellales; Chattonellaceae
Source: RNAcentral
CCAGAAAGGAAAAAAGAAAAAAGAUUAAAAAAAAGAAAAAGAAGAAG